This 215-nucleotide ribosomal RNA is filed under the name uncultured bacterium. RNAcentral describes it as "partial 16S ribosomal RNA". It matches the Rfam family "Bacterial small subunit ribosomal RNA", at positions 1286 to 1500 of the family's 1533-position model. The record is from RNAcentral.
UCCCAGUUCGGAUUGUAGUCUGCAACCCGACUACAUGAAGCCGGAAUCGCUAGUAAUCGCGGAUCAGAAUGCCGCGGUGAAUACGUUCCCGGGUCUUGUACACACCGCCCGUCACACCAUGGGAGUUGGAAAUGCCCGAAGUCAGUGGCCCAACCGGAAGGGGGGAGCUGCCGAAGGCAGGUUCGAUGACUGGGGUGAAGUCGUAACAAGGUAUC